UUGCAUUUGACCUCAAAUC
RNAcentral lists this ribosomal RNA (19 nucleotides) under Hyphoderma setigerum. RNAcentral describes it as "partial 28S ribosomal RNA". Lineage: Eukaryota; Fungi; Basidiomycota; Agaricomycetes; Polyporales; Hyphodermataceae. The record is from RNAcentral.